CAUAUCAAUAAGCGGAGGAAAAGAAACCAACAGGGAUUGCCUUAGUAACGGCGAGUGAAGCGGCAAAAGCUCAAAUUUGAAAUCGGCCACCAGGUCGAGUUGUAAUUUGUAGAUUGUAUCUUGAGAGCGGAUUAAAGUCUGUUGGAACACAGCGCCUUAGAGGGUGACAGCCCCGUAAAAUCUAUUCUCAUUGUAAGAUACUUUCGAAGAGUCGAGUUGUUUGGGAAUGCAGCUCUAAGUGGGAGGUAAAUUCCUUCUAAAGCUAAAUAUUGACGAGAGACCGAUAGCGAACAAGUACUGUGAAGGAAAGAUGAAAAGCACUUUGAAAAGAGAGUGAAAAAGUACGUGAAAUUGUUAAAAGGGAAGGGUAUUGAAUCAGACUUGGUGCUGUUGUUCAACUGUGUUUCGGCAUAGUGUACUCAGCAGUACUAGGCCAAGGUGGGGUGUUUGGGAGUGAAAAAGAAGUUGGAAGGUAACUCUUCGGAGUGUUAUAGCCUACUUUCAUAGCUCCUCAGGCGCCUCAGGACUGCGCUUCGGCAAGGACCUUGGCAUAAUGAUUCUAUACCGCCCGU
This 572-nucleotide ribosomal RNA is filed under the name Saccharomycetales sp. S12. Its description in RNAcentral is "eukaryotic LSU rRNA". It matches the Rfam family "Eukaryotic large subunit ribosomal RNA", at positions 39 to 652 of the family's 3401-position model. Lineage: Eukaryota; Fungi; Ascomycota; Saccharomycetes; Saccharomycetales. The record is from RNAcentral.